AUUGAACGCUGGCGGCAGGCCUAACACAUGCAAGUCGAACGAGUGGCGGACGGGUGAGUAAUGUCUGGGAAACUGCGUGAUGGGGGGGGAUAACUACUGGAAACGGUAGCUAAUACCGCAUACCAACGGCUGUGCCCAUAUGGGAUUAGCUAGUAGGUGGGGUAACGGCUCACCUAGGCGACGAUCCAUAGCUGGUCAGAGAGGAUGAACAGCCACACUGGAACUGAGACACGGUCCAGACUCCUACGGGAGGCAGCAGUGGGGAAUAUUGCACAAUGGGCGCAAGCCGGAUGCAGCCAUGCCGCGUGUAUGAAGAAGGCCUUCGGGUUGUAAAGCACUUUCAGCGGGGAGGCGUUACCCGCAGAAGAAGCACCGGCUAACUCCGUGCCAGCCGCCGCGGUAAUAC
RNAcentral lists this ribosomal RNA (406 nucleotides) under uncultured bacterium. RNAcentral's name for it is "partial 16S ribosomal RNA". It matches the Rfam family "Bacterial small subunit ribosomal RNA", at positions 30 to 526 of the family's 1533-position model. The record is from RNAcentral.